UACGUAGGGGGCAAGCGUUAUCCGGAUUUACUGGGUGUAAAGGGAGCGUAGACGGCAAUACAAGUCGGAAGUGAAAUACCCGGGCUUAACCUGGGAACUGCUUUGGAAACUGUAUGGCUGGAGUGCUGGAGAGGUAAGCGGAAUUCCUAGUGUAGCGGUGAAAUGCGUAGAUAUAUGGAGGAACACCGGUGGCGAAAGCGGCUCUCUGGCCUGUAACUGACACUGAGGCUCGAAAGCGUGGGGAGCAAACAGG
This 253-nucleotide ribosomal RNA is filed under the name uncultured bacterium. Its description in RNAcentral is "partial 16S ribosomal RNA". It matches the Rfam family "Bacterial small subunit ribosomal RNA", at positions 524 to 776 of the family's 1533-position model. The record is from RNAcentral.